Molecule: long non-coding RNA, 4832 nt
Organism: Cuculus canorus (common cuckoo)
Lineage: Eukaryota; Metazoa; Chordata; Aves; Cuculiformes; Cuculidae
Exons: 6
Source: RefSeq, a predicted model, not a curated record
CUUGCUCAAGAGGAGAGUGUUAGAGAAGUCAGUCUCCUGUGAUGACUGACUCAGGGAGAAGUGUAACAAACAGCAAAAGAAGUGAUCAGAAAACCAUGGCAGAAGGAAGAUGAACUGAAUAAGCUUCUGGCAGGCUAGUAAGGCUGACAAUAAAGCACCACACAGCCACUUCCGUCUGGUGGGGUUGGAGAGAGAACCAGAAGCAUAAAACUUGUGAGAAGACUCAUGGGUUGAGAUAAAGCAAAAGCUGCACAUACAAGCAAAGCAAAACACUGCUUCCUUCCAGCUAUCAGAACCAUACAUGUCUCUACACAGCUCCAGUUUUUUCCAGUGCUUUGCUAAAUGCUGUGAAGAAUUUUCAGUUAAUGCCUGGCGGUAACACAGUGAUGGCUUCUACCAUCCCUUACAUGAGGGAGCAAGACUGGAGGACAAGGAAAACGCCUUGCUGUUCGUUUUUGUGGCCACCGGGUGUCAUUCUAGGAGCAGAAUUUGGCCAGGCUGGGGGCACUACUGUGGCAGCAACACUGGAGUCUUCACACAUACAUUCCAGUCAGUGGCUUGAACCACAACUAGUACCUAGCAAUUGAAUAAUGCUAUUAUCCGAAGAUGGCAUCCACCCAGAGGAAACAAACUCAAAAGAUGAGGAACUUGAAGGGUAGCUGUGAAGCCAAGAAGUAACAAAGCAGGAAGAGGUAUUAAAAUAUCAAAGAUCAUGUUUAGUAAAGUAUAAAUCAUAUCUUACUACAGCAUAAACUUCUGUCCUCCUGACUGAGAAAGAAAGUUACCAUAUUUUCCUUCUUCUGUGAGCUGUUUCUGCUGAUCAUUCCUGGUGCUUAUUCUACCUACCGAUGUGCUGUGAAGGAAUUAGCCACUCUACCACCACAGAGAACAAAGUCAUGCCACAGAGUUCUGGUUGAACAAGACUUCUGCAACAAAGAAAUCCAGUAGUAAUGUUACUGUUGAGACAUUCAAAGGCAGUAUUAGCCAUCUUGUAGUGAUGCUGUGAUGACCAUGAUACAUAGUUUUUCCUCAGUUCUGUUUUUAAAUGCUGGGUACUUUCCUUUAUUUCUGAAACAAUGAAAUCAACUUUCAGAUAAUGCCUUUUGUUUCUGAUGGUGUUUGUUUUAUAAAAUUAAAUGAAAUUGCUGAUGAAGUAUUUCAAUAUACAAUAAUGCAGUUAAAUUCUGAAGAAACAUUGGGUGAAAUAAGCUUAUAAAUAUUGCAACCUCGUUCACCCCAAGAAAUUGCAUAGGGUGUGUAAUGCACAGCUGAUCUCUGCUGUGAUUUUUCACACACCAUUGUUGAAAGCCAAAAUUAGUGGUUUUCAUUCUGAUUUGAAUUUGUUCAGAGAAGAUGAUACUGGAAUCCAUGCUGUGAAUAUGAACUAUUCAGCUAGAGUUAAAUUGCCUACUUAGUUUGUGAAGGGAAAGGAUAGGUUACAGCCCCCUUGGUAGCUGAAAGGAAGCUAUCAGAGAUGUAGGAGAAAAUUCACUGUAUUCACCCCAUAUUUUUAAACUUCCCUCUUUUUACACCAAAGCAUAGACUACUUUUGAUUAUCUGUUCAGACCAUUUAUAGUGAAUGUGUGCAAAUUAAGAAAUAUCUCCUUCCUGAGUGUGUGAGCACUGAUCACAAUAGCAGUCCCUAAGACCCAUAAUUUUCAGCUUCAUUCCCAAAGUUUUGCAAAGCUGUGUUUCAGAUCUCAUAGUUAUAAACAGCAGAAACUGAUCCUCUCUACUCUGAAGUGAACACAGCGGAGGAGGAAGUAGUCUUCCCAAAAAUAAACCCCUUUUUAAAGAAAAAAAUCUAAUUUCUCAGUGCAACUGAAAAAUAAAUAUAAUGCUAUAUCUUAUUGCAUAGGUUUAAUAUGAUAGGUGUAAUACCAAGCUACAUAUGAAAUCCACAGAAAUGAAAAGAUUGCUUAUUUGUUAGGGUUUGGUUUGUUUGGGGUUUUUGGUUGGUUUUUGGUGUUUGUGGUAUUUUUUGUUUGGUGGUUUUUUUUGGUUUGGCUUUUAUGGUUUGGGGUUUUUUUUUCCCACCUAUUUACUAUAGUCUUUGAAAACCACUGCUACACAACUUUCAUAAUUGUUAACCAAAUCUGUAUUGAAAUAUCUGUAUUGAAAUUGCCCUUUGGAUAUAGAAGUGUUUUGAAUUAAGCGUUUUCUGAUUAAGAACACCAUUGUUUUAGUUGUUGGACAUGUUAGACAUUUAAUCAUAUUUAAUCAUAUUAAUCAUAUUUAAUCAAGGGUCAAUCAUUUCUCCUUGGAAACUAUUAAUAGUCCAUUGCAGAGUUUUCCAGGAACUGAGCAAUGUUGUUAUGUAGAUAUUUCUCCCUAUGUAUUAUUUCAGAAAUAACCUAGCCAAGAAGCUGAUUCAAAUCUUCUGCUGUUCCAAAUGCUAAAUGACAGAAAGUGACAGAAGUGUGACAUUUUACAUCAGCUGAACUCACAACUGAGCAUGGAGCACAUCUGAAUUUAUACUGAAACAGUCUAAAUAUUAGAACCAAUUUGCAGCUACUUGUUAUACCACUAGAAUUUAUAUUUUACAUGGCAAUUAACUGAGAACACAACUGUACAGACGCAGAACGUCUUCAUUCAUCGUAUUCAAAGAGCUUAGGGCAUGUAUUUCUAGGGGUGGUUACAAAAUAUUUAUUCUUUGUUGCACAUAGCUGAUCUGAUUUUUGCUAGUGAGUCAUAUCAAUAAAGUUAUGGGAAAAUGGUGGCUGUAGCAUAUAUAAGACUGAAAAACUUACCUUCACAUGACACUGUACAGAACACUUGUUUAAUUAGUAAAAGCCAAAAUAGGCCUGAAUACAAACCACUGUUUUCUAGUUAGUCUCAAGAAUGUAAAGAAUUAAAUUUUUAGGAUUUAUAAGUCUUUCUUGUCCACAGGGAACAGGAGUCCUAGAAGUCGCUUGCUCUGAAUUUUGAGAUUGCUCUCUCAUAUAAUCUUAUUAAUAAAGCUGCCAGUCACAGCACUGAUGCUACGUUUUGUUACAGAUUUCUUAAUUUCUCUCUGGCAAGAAGCUCACAAAGUCUUUUUUAAUUAAUCAUUUGUAUUAAGAAUUAAGCAAUACCUGUCUGAGAAGAAAAAAAAAGUGCAUUUAAAAUUGAGUUAUAUUUUUAACGUUGCAGGAAAAAAAAGUCCAUGCACUGGUUUGAGCACAUGCCAAAGACUAAUUUAUGCUUGGUAUCUGAUGAUAUACACUCGCUAUUGUUUAUUACCAAGUUCAGAAGGACUCUCUGUAAAAGCAAAGGUCUACAUGCGACUGUCAAUAAAGCCAUACAAAUAAUUAUCUUGUGGAGGAACAAAAUUAAAAGUGUAUUCACCAUUCUAUAACAUAUUUGUCUUCCCUGGCAAAUGGAGCAAUGCAAAUCUUGAAGAAAAAUUUGCUAUUCUAUCUGCACUUCAAGCUUGACAAGAAAGGACUUCAAGUGCCUUAGUUGUAUCACAUUUUAUUAAAUCUAUGUCCUGUUUGACCAUGUAUGAACAUUUUGCAGUGGUACUUAAAAGCCUGAACUGAACAUUUUGCCACAGAGCCUGAAAUGUGUUCACAUCAGCAGAGUUUGGAUCUUCACUGCAAAUUAUGCUGCAGGACAAUAUGAUCUUUUCUGGUCCGCUAUAAGGUUUUGCAACUCUGGUAGUGAACUCACUUUAGGCUCAUUUUUACCAGCAUUAUUCGGGAUAGAGUAUUUUCUAGAAAAGUUAAAUUAUCUUCCCAGUAGUCUUGUUUUCAGCAGUCUUCUCUCUAGACUUAAGGAUCUGCUCCAGUAGAGACUCAAUUCUUUACAGAUACUUCAUUUUUUAUAUUCUGCAUAGUCUCACUAAAUUUGAAGAAACCUAAAUUUCUGCACACAUUGCCAUAUCCUCUCAUCUCGGAUGUUUUACAACCAAUUCACCUGUGACUUUAUUUUUUUCAAAGAAACUCUCAUAAAUUUUUAAUUAGGUGAAAUAAACCAACUGGUAGAGACAACAGUGUAGAAAGCUUAAGACAUUUCCUCUGGCAGGAAAAGCGCUAGAGAAAGCAGUAAUAUAGAACCAUUUUAAAGAUGGUCUAAGUACCUCAAUUAGGCCAAGUCAGCAACGUAGCAAAAAUUUAAUACAGGGACAAAUGCGUAGGCAAAAAUAGAUAAACAUUUCUUAUAUGUGUCCUCCCUCUUACAUGGCUGACAUAUAGACUUACAAAUGUAGCGGCAGAUUUCAAUCUAAACACUACACUAUUUGGUCUACUUUCAAAGCCCUUAGCUAUCUGGUCUUCCAAGUCCUCCUCUUCCCACAAGAUUUACAAAUCACUCCGUCAGAACCUCCCUUAUUUGAGGUGGUAUAAAGUGGGGAAACAGGGGAUAAUUGUUUAGGAAGUUGUCAUUGUGUGCAUUCCCUGUAUUUCACAUGAUUUGACCAUUAAUUUGGAUGAAUUUGUGAAACUGAAGAGACUUCAGCUACCCCUUCCCCACACAGCAAUGACAGACUGCUUUCCUUGGCAUGUGUAUAUAUCUAGUUUCACAGCUCAAGGCCCAACUGUUCUUUGUACACAACUAAGACAAGAUUAAUGACUUCAAGGCUUUGAUGACAUCGACUGAAUAGCCUGAACCCCAGAACUAAGUGCAGUUAUCAUUCGGUUACUGUGAGGAAAAGACAGAAGAUUCAAUUCACCACAGUCUAUGAAUUUUUCAAGACCGCACGAUGAAGUUACACAGACAACUUGGACUGGUUUUCAGUGCAGAUCAAUGCAGAAUUUCCUUAGAAAGGGGUAGACAAAGUCUUAGGAAUUGGGAAUUACUUGUUAUAUUUAGCCAUAUACCUAUUCUUUCAAGGAGAAAAGCUUUAGUUCUGU